GGCUGAUCCGAUGGUAGUGGGUUAUCAGAAUUUAUUAACAUUAGUCUCACUAAAGUUGGUAUUCAACCCCCCCCACUGCUAAAUUUGACUGGCUUAAA
This 98-nucleotide Y RNA is filed under the name Microcebus murinus (gray mouse lemur). RNAcentral's name for it is "Y RNA (ENSMICG00000044972.1)". It matches the Rfam family "Y RNA". From Rfam's summary of the family: Y RNAs are components of the Ro ribonucleoprotein particle (Ro RNP), in association with Ro60 and La proteins. The Y RNAs and Ro60 and La proteins are well conserved, but the function of the Ro RNP is not known. Lineage: Eukaryota; Metazoa; Chordata; Mammalia; Primates; Cheirogaleidae. The record is from Rfam by way of RNAcentral.